RNAcentral lists this ribosomal RNA (481 nucleotides) under uncultured bacterium. RNAcentral's name for it is "partial 16S ribosomal RNA". It matches the Rfam family "Bacterial small subunit ribosomal RNA", at positions 28 to 507 of the family's 1533-position model. The record is from RNAcentral.
GAUGAACGCUGGCGGCGUGCUUAACACAUGCAAGUCGAACGACGCACUUUAUUUGAUUUCCUUCGGGACUGAUUAUUUUGUGACUGAGUGGCGGACGGGUGAGUAACGCGUGGGUAACCUGCCUUGUACAGGGGGAUAACAGUUGGAAACGGCUGCUAAUACCGCAUAAGCGCACAGCAUCGCAUGGUGCAGUGUGAAAAACUCCGGUGGUAUAAGAUGGACCCUCGUUGGAUUAGCUAGUUGGUGCGGUAACGGCCUACCAAGGCGACGAUCCAUAGCCUAGCAGAGAGGGUCGCCGGCGACUCCUGGAGUAGGCCGCAGUCCAGAAUCCUGCGGGAUGCAGCAGUGGGGGAUACUGCAAAAUCGGCUGAAGCCUGAUGCAGCUACGCCUGGUGAGCGAAGAAGUUUUUCGGGAUGUAAAGCUCUAUCAGCAGGGAAGAUAAUGACGGUACCUGACGAAGAAGCACCGGCUAACUACGUG